AUGAACGCUGGCGGCGUGCCUAAUACAUGCAAGUCGAGCGAACGGACGAGAAGCUUGCUUCUCUGAUGUUAGCGGCGGACGGGUGAGUAACACGUGGAUAACCUACCUAUAAGACUGGGAUAACUUCGGGAAACCGGAGCUAAUACCGGAUAAUAUUUUGAACCGCAUGGUUCAAAAGUGAAAGACGGUCUUGCUGUCACUUAUAGAUGGAUCCGCGCUGCAUUAGCUAGUUGGUAAGGUAACGGCUUACCAAGGCAACGAUGCAUAGCCGACGUGAGAGGGUGAUCGGCCACACUGGAACUGAGACACGGUCCAGACUCCUACGGGAGGCAGCAGUAGGGAAUCUUCCGCAAUGGGCGAAAGCCUGACGGAGCAACGCCGCGUGAGUGAUGAAGGUCUUCGGAUCGUAAAACUCUGUUAUUAGGGAAGAACAUAUGUGUAAGUAACUGUGCACAUCUUGACGGUACCUAAUCAGAAAGCCACGGCUAACUACGUG
This 496-nucleotide ribosomal RNA is filed under the name uncultured bacterium. RNAcentral's name for it is "partial 16S ribosomal RNA". It matches the Rfam family "Bacterial small subunit ribosomal RNA", at positions 29 to 507 of the family's 1533-position model. The record is from RNAcentral.